GAGGGUAUAACUCAGUGGUAGAGUGUGUGUUUAGCAUGCACAAGGUCCUGGGCUCAAUUCCCAGCACCUCCA
Molecule: transfer RNA, 72 nt
Filed under: Camelus bactrianus (Bactrian camel)
Lineage: Eukaryota; Metazoa; Chordata; Mammalia; Artiodactyla; Camelidae
Also listed under: 2 other names
Rfam family: tRNA
About the family: Transfer RNA (tRNA) molecules are approximately 80 nucleotides in length. Their secondary structure includes four short double-helical elements and three loops (D, anti-codon, and T loops).
Source: Rfam by way of RNAcentral